This 698-nucleotide ribosomal RNA is filed under the name uncultured bacterium. RNAcentral's name for it is "bacterial SSU rRNA". It matches the Rfam family "Bacterial small subunit ribosomal RNA", at positions 126 to 812 of the family's 1533-position model. The record is from RNAcentral.
CUGCCCAAAAGAGGGGGAUACCACUUGGAAACAGGUGCUAAUACCGCAUAACAUAGUUACCGCAUGGUAGCUAUGUAAAAGGUGGCUAUGCUACCGCUUUUGGAUGGGCCCGCGGCGCAUUAGCUAGUUGGUGGGGUAAAGGCUUACCAAGGCAAUGAUGCGUAGCCGAACUGAGAGGUUGAUCGGCCACAUUGGGACUGAGACACGGCCCAAACUCCUACGGGAGGCAGCAGUAGGGAAUCUUCCACAAUGGGCGAAAGCCUGAUGGAGCAACGCCGCGUGGGUGAAGAAGGUCUUCGGAUCGUAAAACCCUGUUGUUAGAGAAGAAAGUGCGUGAGAGUAACUGUUCACGUUUCGACGGUAUCUAACCAGAAAGCCACGGCUAACUACGUGCCAGCAGCCGCGGUAAUACGUAGGUGGCAAGCGUUAUCCGGAUUUAUUGGGCGUAAAGGGAACGCAGGCGGUCUUUUAAGUCUGAUGUGAAAGCCUUCGGCUUAACCGGAGUAGUGCAUUGGAAACUGGGAGACUUGAGUGCAGAAGAGGAGAGUGGAACUCCAUGUGUAGCGGUGAAAUGCGUAGAUAUAUGGAAGAACACCAGUGGCGAAAGCGGCUCUCUGGUCUGUAACUGACGCUGAGGUUCGAAAGCGUGGGUAGCAAACAGGAUUAGAUACCCUGGUAGUCCACGCCGUAAACGAUGA